AUGCCGCCGCCUCCCAUCUCAGGCGAGAUCCGGCGGGCGGCGAUGAAGCGACCCGCCCUGCUCGCCGUCCCGGCCGUCCUCCUCCUCUCCCUCUCCUUCCUCCUCCUCAGGCCCUCCAUCCCGCCCUUCCCCCUCCCCUCCGCGCGCACCACCGACCCUGACCACCACGGCCGCCGCCUGAGCGUCUACGUCGCCGACCUCCCGCGCGCGCUCAACCAUGGCCUGCUCGACCUCUACUGGUCGCUGCCCUCCGCCGACGCCCGCAUCCCGGCCUCCUCAGACCCGGACCACCCGCCGCCGCGCGACCACCCGCCCUACCCCGCCAGCCCCCUCAUCCGGCAGUACAGCACCGAGUACUGGCUCCUGCGCUCCCUCCUCGGCCCCGCCGCCCCCGCGUCCGCGGCGGUGAGGGUCGUCGCCGACUGGAGGGAGGCCGACGUGGUGUUCGUGCCCUUCUUCGCCACGCUCUCCGCGGAGAUGGAGCUCGGCUGGGGCGCCACCAAGGGCGCCUUCCGCAGGAAGGAGGGGAAUGGGGACUACCGGCGCCAGAGGGAGGUCGUCGACCGCGUCACCGCCCACCCGGCCUGGCGCCGGUCCGGCGGCCGCGACCACGUCUUCGUCCUCACAGACCCUAUGGCAAUGUGGCAUGUCCGGGCGGAGAUUGCUCCUGCAAUUCUACUGGUGGUUGAUUUUGGCGGGUGGUACAAACUCGAUUCAAAAUCUGCAGGCGGCAACUCUUCUCAUAUGAUACAGCACACUCAAGUGUCAUUGCUGAAAGAUGUUAUUGUGCCUUACACACAUUUGCUACCUACCCUGCACCUAUCAGAAAAUAUGGAUCGCCCCACCCUUCUGUACUUCAAGGGAGCCAAGCACAGGCAUCGGGGUGGUUUGGUGCGUGAAAAACUGUGGGAGUUGAUGGUUAACGAGCCUGAUGUUGUCAUGGAAGAAGGUUUUCCUAAUGCCACAGGACGUGAACAAUCAAUUAAAGGGAUGCGGACAUCAGAGUUUUGCUUGCACCCAGCUGGUGACACCCCAAGUUCAUGUCGUCUAUUUGACGCUGUUGCAAGUCUUUGCAUACCAGUCAUUGUCAGCGAUGACAUUGAGCUUCCUUUCGAAGGGAUGAUAGACUACACAGAAUUCUCCAUUUUUGUGUCAGUCGGUAACGCAAUGAGGCCCAAAUGGCUAACGGACUACCUAAGGAAUAUCUCCAAGCAGCAGAAGGAUGAAUUCAGAAGAAACCUGGCUGGAGUCCAGCAUAUCUUUGAGUACGAAAACAGUCACCAACAUAGCAAGGUCUCUGCCCCAGAAGAUGGUGCUGUGAACCACAUAUGGAAGAAGAUUCAUCAGAAGUUGCCGAUGAUUCAAGAAGCAGUCACCCGGGAGAAGCGGAAGCCUGAAGGCGCGUCCAUCCCACUUCGGUGCCAUUGUACCUGA
Molecule: ribosomal RNA, 1434 nt
Filed under: Triticum aestivum (bread wheat)
Lineage: Eukaryota; Viridiplantae; Streptophyta; Magnoliopsida; Poales; Poaceae
Description: partial small subunit ribosomal RNA
Source: RNAcentral